Molecule: long non-coding RNA, 1095 nt
Filed under: Lathyrus oleraceus (garden pea)
Lineage: Eukaryota; Viridiplantae; Streptophyta; Magnoliopsida; Fabales; Fabaceae
Description: Pisum sativum (pea) long non-coding RNA (PSAT_LNC029644)
Source: RNAcentral
UUUAAUUCAGAAAGUUCCAAAUAAUCCAAAUACAUUUUGUCUUUAAAUUUUUUUUAUUAAACUACAUAAUUACAUUUUUUUUACUAAGUGGAAUUUGCUGCAAAAACAGGUUCCUAAUUCUAAAUAACCAAGACCAAAAUCAAUGGACUGGUUUAACACUCCUUUGGACCUAGGCGCAAAAACAUGUUAUCUUGAAGCUUGGAGCAGCCACUUUUCCAUUCCAUCAGGUCAUCUCAGAGCUAUAACCUGCAGAGAAAAAUAGCUUAUUUAAAAAGUACUUUUUAAAAGCACUUAAAAAACUAAAAAAUAACUAAACAAAUUACUCAAUUUGAAACUUUACCCAACAGGUUAACUUGAACAUCCAAAAAGGCAUUGCAAUAAUAACUUAAAACAGAACAAAUCCACAGAAAUUAAAUCCCACAUAAUCUGGGAUGGGAAAAUCGAAAAAGAAAGGAGUUUUUAAAAAACUGAUAAAAAUUCUUCAUAAAAGGUUCAUGAGGCGUUAAGAACAUCAACACAGUAAGAGACCUUCUCAAAAAACAGAAACCAAAACAAUAAUAGAAUACACAGCGAGAGAGACAUCACAGUAAGAGACCUUCUCAAAAAACAGAAACCAAAACAACAAUAGAAUACACAGCGAGAGAGACAUCACAGUAAGAGACCUUCUCAAAAAACAGAAACCAAAACAACAAUAGAAUACACCGCGAGAGAGACAUCACAAUAAGAGAUUUUUCAAAAGAAACUAAAAAUACAACAGCAAACAUAGCCAUAAACGCAGUAAAGCUUUUUUUCAAAACCCUAAAAAACGAAACAGAAGAAGGAGGCUUAUUUGGAGACGGGACGCAUCAAACUCAGCUUCAUCUUCUUCUCCUUCCAACGAAUCCUUCCAAACCUCCAAACGUGCACCUCUUCUCCUCCUUCGAUCGCGAACCCACACACUCCACACCCUCAUUUUCUACCUCCAACGAGCGCCCUCACAAAACCACAGUUUCUCUGCCGGCCACAAUCGACCUUCAAUCGCUCCUCACCGGCGCAACCUCCAUGGCGGCUUCAGUUGGUCUGUGAGGUCUCACAGUUACAAUCGCUCAUUCUGGG